GUGCAGGUUUGUAACAUAUGUAUACAUGUGCCAUGCUGGUGUGCUGCACCCAUUAACUCGUCAAUAAGGCCUUCAGUAUAUCAAGAUCAGUGGAUCAAAGAAACAUCCUCAAGAAACUAAGAAACAACACAAGAUUCUCUCUGAUGAAAUGCUUAAGUAUAAGGAAAAUGAUGGAAGACACAGAAGAGCAGCAGAAUUGGGUAGAAGACUACUACAGAUGCCAGAUCGCCACUUCUGAAAGAAAGGCUUACGACAACUGGCUCUGUGUUUAAGCCUCGCAGAGGGAGAUGCAAGAGAAGAAGGCUGCCUACAAGCAGCACAGAUAGGAAAUGAUUGAAAAACAGAGAGUGCUGGAGAGACACAUUAGUCAGGAGCCAGCUAGUGGACAACCAGGCAUAGAGAAUCAUCCCCAAAGAGGUCAAUAUGGCUUUGGGAGGGCCCCUUUUUCAGGAUUGCCCUACUUGCUCUACUGCAUGGCUGGCUCUUCAGGACCAUUUGUGGGCUGCCAGACACCUCCUCUGCCUGGGUGGCCUCUGGGAACACGACCACUGCCUCCAUGCACACCACUUGGACAAGCUGAAAUUUGAAGAGGCCCCUGAGCUGUGACAGCCAUGCUGUGGCUCCUACAUAACUUGGAAAAGUAUCCAAUACAUUUUACGCUGCCUGCCCAGUGCUGCCUCAUCUGUCUCUAAUCUUCUGUAGUGUUUCCCCUAAUAAAGGUUUGCAGUCCUA
This 732-nucleotide long non-coding RNA is filed under the name Homo sapiens (human). RNAcentral describes it as "non-protein coding LINC01284:13". The record is from RNAcentral. Lineage: Eukaryota; Metazoa; Chordata; Mammalia; Primates; Hominidae.